Long non-coding RNA from Ylistrum balloti, 1213 nucleotides. RefSeq lists it as uncharacterized. Lineage: Eukaryota; Metazoa; Mollusca; Bivalvia; Pectinida; Pectinidae. The transcript is spliced from 4 exons. The record is from RefSeq and is a predicted model, not a curated record.
AUUUAUCACCAGUUACCCAAGGACACUGACAACAACAUCACGGACAGGAAGAGAGCACCUCACAAGGUCAUGUUAUACUGACCAUGUGCUGACCACAUUGGCAGACAACCAUGUCUUAGAGAAGGAGCAGGUGGAGGCAAUCAGAGAACAAGGGAGGUAUAUAAGCGACUCGCCACACGCCAGCUGAAUCUUUCCCCAGCAUCUGAUAACUGAUCGCUCAAUACGAGAUUUCGUGGACAACUUCUUCAAACUUUUCAAGUUUUCUUCUCUUUCAGAAAAGAUGUCGGCACUGAAGGUUUUGAUUGUGGUGUUCUUGGCUUUCUCGUUCCUUGCGGUAACUAUGGCACAGUCAGACAACCUCGCUGCCUGGUAUUUUUUGAUGCAAGGCAACCGGGCCCGAGGGUCACUCGGACAAGGUAGACGUGCAUUUCCGACUCUGAUGCAAUUGUUAAUGCUGGAUAACAUGGAUUAUCUUUCGUGAAAUCAUGGACAAGAUUUUAAUCCACUUGUGACAAUGAUUUCGGCGAGGCUUAUAAACUUUCCAAGACAAAGGCACAAACAUGUAGUUCAUUUUCAUCAACUUUCUCAUUCAUCAGUCUUGUACAUUUAAGUCGACCACUAUCCUAUCGAUUUCAUCCUAGACUGGUGAUACCAGUACGACUUCUUUAACACGAAAACGAUAUCGAGAUAUCCAUGGAUCUGUAAAAAUAAAAGUCAAUUUGAUUGUCUUAACUGGACAAUAUGAGAGCGUUCUAUGUGUUUUAUCAAUCCAUAUUAUAAAACAAUAUUUCUCGAUCUUUUUAAGAAAUUUGAUAAAACAUGGAAAAGUUUACUGAAUCAGUAGAUACAUCAAUAUAUAGCUUUGGUAUAGACUCGAUACUAUCUUGCUGUAGUAUUUAUAUCAUUUCCCUAGUUUAAUCAUAAUUCGUCCCUCGGCAUUCCUCAAUCAUACACCAAGCAGGUUGGGUAGUACUUCCUUGUUAUUCUACAGAACGCCUCUUCGGACGAAAUUCACCGAACACAUCGGCGUUGUGGAUUAUUUGGCUCUGUGAUGUACGACAUCAGUAAGAAAUUUACUGAAAUAAGGUUGACCUACCAAUAAAAUUUAGCAAUGCUCACAUGUAAGUGUUCUCGCCAAAGGAUAUACAUUUCGGUAACGACUGUAAAAUAGUGCUAAUAUGAUUUUAAAUUGUUAUCAAUUUAAAUUCAAAGA